This 478-nucleotide ribosomal RNA is filed under the name uncultured bacterium. Its description in RNAcentral is "bacterial SSU rRNA". It matches the Rfam family "Bacterial small subunit ribosomal RNA", at positions 26 to 518 of the family's 1533-position model. The record is from RNAcentral.
GGCUCGAGGACGAACGCUGGCGGCGUGCCUAACACAUGCAGUCGAGCGAGGAGAUCCUCGGGAUGAUCCUAGCGGCGGACGGGUGAGUAACACGUGGGCAACCUGCCUCAUAGAGAGGAAUAGCCUUCCGAAAGGGAGAUUAAUACCUCAUAACAUUGCAGUUUCGCAUGGAACAGCAAUUAAAGGAGUAAUCCGCUAUGAGAUGGGCCCGCGGCGCAUUAGCUAGUUGGUGAGGUAAUGGCUCACCAAGGCGACGAUGCGUAGCCGACCUGAGAGGGUGAUCGGCCACAUUGGGACUGAGACACGGCCCAGACUCCUACGGGAGGCAGCAGUGGGGAAUAUUGCACAAUGGGGGAAACCCUGAUGCAGCAACGCCGCGUGAGUGAUGACGGCCUUCGGGUUGUAAAGCUCUGUCUUCAGGGACGAUAAUGACGGUACCUGAGGAGGAAGCCACGGCUAACUACGUGCCAGCCGCUGC